This is a long non-coding RNA of Salvelinus namaycush (lake trout), 1346 nucleotides long. RefSeq lists it as uncharacterized. NCBI's taxonomy places the organism in Eukaryota, Metazoa, Chordata, Actinopteri, Salmoniformes, Salmonidae. The transcript is spliced from 3 exons. The record is from RefSeq and is a predicted model, not a curated record.
UCAGCAUUCUGCAGUCUCAAGCAGAGACGGAAGAGGAAGCGAGACAGCCUACUCCUUCAUUUUUCCCCCCAAUGGAAGUCAACUAACUAAGCAGACCACUAUCGCAUUGUUGUCUGCUUAAGGAGCCACCUCCUUAAGCAGACAGUGGUAAAUGGCCUGAGUGAACUAUCUUCACUAUCUUGGGCAAAGACCGGCUGAUACCAGAUUUGAAGAAAAGGAAAAACGGAAGGAGAGAACAGCAGGAACAUAUACUAUACUAUGCAUCUUACAUAUACUGUGUAACUUACUAAGACAUUUUUAAACAAAUAGCUGGUUCUGGUGAAUUGAAGGGAAAAUACAACAACUUUCCUGAAAAUGUUGUCAAUUUAGUCAAUCAGAACUCAAAUACCAAUAUUUUUCUGUAUUACUUUAAACUGUUGGUCUAACUAUAACAGUUCAGAAAGUCACCACCAAUGUCAAAACACAUGAUUUUAUUUAUAUUCCCUUCACCAUGUUUGGGUAGUACAUGGUCUUGAAAUGACUAAUUUCUUUAUAUAUAUUAGUAUUUUCUCUCUUUAUUGAGAUUUCAAGUUAUAAAUGAGAGGGGGUGACAGAAAGGUAGAGGAAUACAGAUAUGAAGGCGUAAGUUUAAAUCCAUGCCGCAAGGGGCCAUGUGUGGUCCAGAGUCAUCAGCAUUACCACUAGACUAGACUAUGGCACAAAAUUAAUAAUGUCUAAUACUCAAUGAACUUAAAAGGAGUCGAGGCACUCAAAGUUAAGAAACUGCUGACUUGAUUACACAAUUUAAUUGCACUAUCAAUUCAUUAAAAAGUAUACAUACAUGGUUGUAAAGGAAAUCAUGUUCAGUCCUAAUAAGCUGAAGAUUCUAUUAUGAAUAAACCAGCAAGCUCUGGAUCUUGUAGAGUAAGAGUUGAAUACUCCUGCACUAGAUUGUGUAAGGCAAAACCUGCAAUGAAAAGGCAACAGGCAAAUGCACAAACACUAGAGAAAACUAAGAAAUAUAUUUUUAUUUGCUAUCUACCUGCAUUUUCUCUGGUAUUUCUAGAACCACCUGCAACUGGACACCGACAUGUAUAAGAUAACUGGUUUCCAGAAUUGGGAACGAAGACAGUACUGCCAAUACCAGCACCAUCAGCUGUCCAUUUCCAAUUGAUUGUGCCGCGACUGCUGCUUCAAGUUUCAGCACCACAAUCAUUCUGGAGUCUCAAGCAGAGACGGAAGAGGAAGCAAGAUGUUCACUCCCUCAAUGGUUCUGUUUCAAUGGAAGUCAAGGACUAAGCAGACAGCUAUCGCAUUGGUGUCUAUGGAGAACACCCCCCCCCCACCCCUCCGCCCCCCUUAAGCAG